CAGCCGCCGCGGGAAUACGAAGGGUGCAAGCGUUACUCGGAAUUACUGGGCGUAAAGCGUGCGUAGGUGGCGUGUUAAGUCGAAUGUGAAAGCCCCGGGCUCAACCUGGGAAUGGCAUCCGAUACUGGCAGGCUAGAGUUCGAUAGAGGGUAGUGGAAUUCCAGGUGUAGCGGUGAAAUGCGUAGAGAUCGGGAGGAACAUCAGUGGCGAAGGCGGCCAUCUGGGACAACACUGACGCUGAGGCACGAAAGCGUGGGGAGCAAACAGGAUUAGAUACCCGCGUAGUCCCUGUCUCUUAUAC
This 301-nucleotide ribosomal RNA is filed under the name uncultured bacterium. Its description in RNAcentral is "partial 16S ribosomal RNA". It matches the Rfam family "Bacterial small subunit ribosomal RNA", at positions 509 to 807 of the family's 1533-position model. The record is from RNAcentral.